UGGACGAGAGAAUGUCAACACUGAUGCCCUCUCCCGUCACGCCAUUCAGUGCCAUCUCCAGCAACCCACAGCCACCACUACGGCACGCCUGAUGACAUCUGCCAUUGUAAACGAAUCCUCCACCACCUGGUUCUUCUCUGAGCCUGUCAAAGAAAUGAUGAGUAAGUCCUGAGCUCAGCAGCCUGUGACGCACAUCUGUGUGAAGACAUCAAACCCCUUUACAGAGAAAGUUUCUUCUCCAAUGAAAGGGAAGAGUAGAAACUCAUUGAAAGGAUUUAAAUUCACCAACCAGCUGCAGAUUUCUGCUGCAGGAUCCUCUCUUCUGGUUCGGGGUCAGCCUCUUGUUUCCUCUUUUC
Long non-coding RNA from Oryzias latipes (Japanese medaka), 356 nucleotides. RefSeq lists it as uncharacterized. The record is from RefSeq and is a predicted model, not a curated record. Lineage: Eukaryota; Metazoa; Chordata; Actinopteri; Beloniformes; Adrianichthyidae.